AAUAACAUUUGGAAACAAUGCUAAUACCGUAUAAUAAUUAAACCGCAUUGGUUUUAGUUUAAAAGAUGGUCUUGCUAUCACUAAGAGAUGGUCCCGCGGUGUAUUAGUUAGUUGGUGAGGUAAUGGCUCACCAAGACAAUGAUACAUAGCCGAGUUGAGAGACUGACCGGCCACAAUGGGACUGAGACACGGCCCAUACUCCUACGGGAGGCAGCAGUAGGGAAUCUUCCACAAUGGACGAAAGUCUGAUGGAGCAACGCCGCGUGUGUGAUGAAGGGUUUCGGCUCGUAAAACACUGUUGUAAGAGAAGAAUGACAUUGAGAGUAACUGUUCAAUGUGUGACGGUAUCUUACCAGAAAGGAACGGCUAAAUACGUG
Molecule: ribosomal RNA, 377 nt
Filed under: uncultured bacterium
Lineage: Bacteria
Description: bacterial SSU rRNA
Rfam family: Bacterial small subunit ribosomal RNA
Source: RNAcentral